This 497-nucleotide ribosomal RNA is filed under the name uncultured Glomeromycotina. Its description in RNAcentral is "partial small subunit ribosomal RNA". It matches the Rfam family "Eukaryotic small subunit ribosomal RNA", at positions 591 to 1092 of the family's 1831-position model. Lineage: Eukaryota; Fungi; Glomeromycota. The record is from RNAcentral.
CCAAUAGCGUAUAUUAAAGUUGUUGCAGUUAAAAAGCUCGUAGUUGAAUUUCGGGACCAAUAUGUCGGUCGUGCUUCGGUACGUACUCGCAUUAUUGGUUUCUCCCUUCUGAAGAACCAUGAUGUCAUUAAUUUGGUGUCUUGGGGAAUCAGGACUGUUACUUUGAAAAAAUUAGAGUGUUUAAAGCAGGCUCACGCUUGAAUACAUUAGCAUGGAAUAAUGAAAUAGGACGUUUGAUUCUAUUUUGUUGGUUUCUAGGAUCGACGUAAUGAUUAAUAGGGAUAGUUGGGGGCAUUAGUAUUCAAUUGUCAGAGGUGAAAUUCUUGGAUUUAUUGAAGACUAACUACUGCGAAAGCAUUUGCCAAGGAUGUUUUCAUUAAUCAAGAACGAAAGUUAGGGGAUCGAAGACGAUCAGAUACCGUCGUAGUCUUAACCAUAAACUAUGCCGACUAGGGAUCGGAUGAUGUUAUUUUUGAUGACUCAUUCGGCGCCUUACG